AUGGAAGUUUUUGAGAUGCCGGAAAGAUAUUUGUGGGAUUCUCUUUUCACUUAAAAGCAAAUAUGGCGGUUCCACUCUUGGUUAUUGAUAAAGUUCAGCGAUCUUUUCUUUGGGAUCAUGAAAUUGGAAAAUGUAGAAUUCAUUUGAUUUCUUUGGCUGAUUUUUGUAGACCAAAAAUAGAGGAUGAUUCGGGUCCAGUUGAUUCGCGAGUUCAUUGUCGUUCUCUUCUUCUCAAAGAAGCAGCAUCUUUGAUACUUGGUUCAUAUUCACUUUGGGUUCAAAUUAUUAUGGUAA
RNAcentral lists this long non-coding RNA (294 nucleotides) under Elaeis guineensis (African oil palm). RNAcentral's name for it is "long non-coding RNA (EGUI_LNC006496)". Lineage: Eukaryota; Viridiplantae; Streptophyta; Magnoliopsida; Arecales; Arecaceae. The record is from RNAcentral.